AAAAAGGCGGGAACGCGAAAAGGGGAACUGAGUGCCAGCAUAUUAUGUUGGCUGUCCACCUGUAUAACCUUUAGGGGUUAGCAAGGGCCGGGCAAGACCGGUGCCAGCCGCCGCGGUAACACCGGCGGCCCGAGUGGUGGCCACUAUUAUUGGGUCUAAAGGGUCCGUAGCCGGUUUGAUCAGUCUUCCGGGAAAUCUGACAGCUCAACUGUUAGGCUUCCGGGGGAUACUGUCAGACUUGGGACCGGGAGAGGUAAGAGGUACUACAGGGGUAGGAGUGAAAUCUUGUAAUCCUUGUGGGACCACCAGUGGCGAAGGCGUCUUACCAGAACGGGUCCGACGGUGAGGGACGAAAGCUGGGGGCACGAACCGGAUUAGAUACCCGGGUAGUCCCAGCUGUAAACGAUGCUCGCUAGGUGUCUGGGACGGUGCGACCGUUUCAGGUGCCGCAGGGAAGCCGUGAAGCGAGCCAACUGGGAAGUACGGCCGCAAGGCUGAAACUUAAAGGAAUUGGCGGGGG
RNAcentral lists this ribosomal RNA (520 nucleotides) under uncultured archaeon. Its description in RNAcentral is "bacterial SSU rRNA". It matches the Rfam family "Archaeal small subunit ribosomal RNA", at positions 352 to 874 of the family's 1478-position model. The record is from RNAcentral.